RNAcentral lists this ribosomal RNA (393 nucleotides) under Triticum aestivum (bread wheat). RNAcentral describes it as "partial small subunit ribosomal RNA". The record is from RNAcentral. Lineage: Eukaryota; Viridiplantae; Streptophyta; Magnoliopsida; Poales; Poaceae.
AUGCCACUGCGCGUCCCACCGUCGCGCGUGCCACCCGAAGCUCCCGUCCAGCCCGUGGUGCAGCCCCACCAGCAGCAGCCUGAGGUGACGCCCCAUCGUCAGCUCAUCCCACGACCGAUGCCGCAUCUGCCGAUUCGGUCACGCCGCUGCGCCUCCACCGCCGGCGGCGCCACGCCACCACCGGAAGCUCUUGCCCAGCCCAUGGUGCAUCCCGACGUGUCGCCCUGGCGACGGCCGACCUGCUUACCAAUUUGCGCCGUUGCUUCUCCAACUGCCGUUAGUGGCCCCCAAAGCUUCCUUCCACCGCGUGGUGCUUCCAUCCACAGCCAAGGAGCCGCACAACCCCCUGCAUCCCGAGGUGCCACCCAGCCGUCCCUCUUCCACCUCGGGUGA